GGGUGAUAGCAUAAUUCCCUAAUACUUAUCUUGAACUCGGCGAUUGCCGAUGUAUGGAAACUUUUGCCUUCACAGCUUAAAAGCAUGGAGAGGACUUGCCCCUAUAUAGCUCAUCAUGCCCCAGUGUGCUGGGUCUUUGAAGAAGUUUACCUUGAAUGGAAGUUUGGAAGCAUUGUACUGUAGCGGUAAAUUCAUGACCAUUAAGCUAUGGAUAAACUUAAUGUCAACAAAAC
RNAcentral lists this long non-coding RNA (233 nucleotides) under Lathyrus oleraceus (garden pea). RNAcentral's name for it is "Pisum sativum (pea) long non-coding RNA (PSAT_LNC015697)". The record is from RNAcentral. Lineage: Eukaryota; Viridiplantae; Streptophyta; Magnoliopsida; Fabales; Fabaceae.